Molecule: ribosomal RNA, 286 nt
Filed under: uncultured Thermodesulfatator sp.
Lineage: Bacteria; Pseudomonadati; Thermodesulfobacteriota; Thermodesulfobacteria; Thermodesulfobacteriales; Thermodesulfatatoraceae
Description: partial 16S ribosomal RNA
Rfam family: Bacterial small subunit ribosomal RNA
Source: RNAcentral
AAGACCUCUCGCUAGUAGAGGAGUUCGCGGCUGAUUAGCUAGUUGGCGGGGUAACGGCCCACCAAGGCGACGAUCAGUAGCCGGCCUGAGAGGGCGGUCGGCCACACUGGCACUGAAACACGGGCCAGACUCCUACGGGAGGCAGCAGUGGGGAAUUUUGGGCAAUGGCCGAAAGGCUGACCCAGCAACGCCGCGUGAAGGAUGAAAUUUUUCGGAAUGUAAACUUCGUAAAUUAGGGAAGAAUAAGUCCAUUCUAACACAGUGGAUGAUGACGGUACCUAAUAGC